CACUCCUGCGGGAGGCAGCAGUGAGGAAUAUUGGACAAUGGGUGGAAGCCUGAUCCAGCCAUCCCGCGUGCAGGAAGACGGCCCUAUGGGUUGUAAACUGCUUUUAUCUGGGGAUAAACCUACUUACGUGUAAGUAGCUGAAGGUACCAGAAGAAUAAGCACCGGCUAACUCCGUGCCAGCAGCCGCGGUAAUACGGAGGGUGCAAGCGUUAUCCGGAUUUAUUGGGUUUAAAGGGUCCGUAGGCGGACUGAUAAGUCAGUGGUGAAAUCCGACAGCUUAACUGUCGAACUGCCAUUGAUACUGUUAGUCUUGAGUAAGGUUGAAGUGGCUGGAAUAAGUAGUGUAGCGGUGAAAUGCAUAGAUAUUACUUAGAACACCAAUUGCGAAGGCAGGUCACUAAGUCUUAACUGACGCUGAUGGACGAAAGCGUGGGGAGCGAACAGGAUUAGAAACCCUUGUAGUCCCAUG
RNAcentral lists this ribosomal RNA (469 nucleotides) under uncultured organism. RNAcentral describes it as "partial 16S ribosomal RNA". It matches the Rfam family "Bacterial small subunit ribosomal RNA", at positions 334 to 799 of the family's 1533-position model. The record is from RNAcentral.